Molecule: ribosomal RNA, 420 nt
Filed under: Limosilactobacillus fermentum
Lineage: Bacteria; Bacillati; Bacillota; Bacilli; Lactobacillales; Lactobacillaceae
Description: bacterial SSU rRNA
Rfam family: Bacterial small subunit ribosomal RNA
Source: RNAcentral
GGACGGGUGAGUAACACGUACGGUAACCUGCCCAGAAGCGGGGGACAACAUUUGGAAACAGAUGCUAAUACCGCAUAACAACGUUGUUCGCAUGAACAACGCUUAAAAGAUGGCUUCUCGCUAUCACUUCUGGAUGGACCUGCGGUGCAUUAGCUUGUUGGUGGGGUAACGGCCUACCAAGGCGAUGAUGCAUAGCCGAGUUGAGAGACUGAUCGGCCACAAUGGGACUGAGACACGGCCCAUACUCCUACGGGAGGCAGCAGUAGGGAAUCUUCCACAAUGGGCGCAAGCCUGAUGGAGCAACACCGCGUGAGUGAAGAAGGGUUUCAGCUCGUAAAGCUCUGUUGUUUUAAAAGAACACGUAUGAGAGUAACCGUUCAUACUUUGUCGGUACUUAACCAGUAAUUCAGAGAGGGCUAC